This 482-nucleotide ribosomal RNA is filed under the name uncultured bacterium. RNAcentral describes it as "partial 16S ribosomal RNA". It matches the Rfam family "Bacterial small subunit ribosomal RNA", at positions 30 to 507 of the family's 1533-position model. The record is from RNAcentral.
AUUGAACGCUGGCGGCAUGCCUUACACAUGCAAGUCGAACGGUAACGGGCCUUCGGGUGCCGACGAGUGGCGAACGGGUGAGUAAUACAUCGGAACGUGCCCGAUCGUGGGGGAUAACGAGGCGAAAGCUUUGCUAAUACCGCAUACGAUCUACGGAUGAAAGCAGGGGACCGCAAGGCCUUGCGCGGACGGAGCGGCCGAUGGCAGAUUAGGUAGUUGGUGGGAUAAAAGCUUACCAAGCCGACGAUCUGUAGCUGGUCUGAGAGGAUGAUCAGCCACACUGGGACGGAGACACGGCCCAGACUCCUACGGGAGGCAGCAGUGGGGAAUGUUGGACAAUGGGCGCAAGCCUGAUCCAGCCAUGCCGCGUGCAGGAUGAAGGCCUUCGGGCUGUAAACUGCUUUUGUACGGAACGAAAAGCCUUCUUUUAAUACAGGAGGGUCAUGACGGUACCGUAAGAAUAAGCACCGGCUAACUACGUG